This 215-nucleotide long non-coding RNA is filed under the name Elaeis guineensis (African oil palm). RNAcentral describes it as "long non-coding RNA (EGUI_LNC040722)". The record is from RNAcentral. Lineage: Eukaryota; Viridiplantae; Streptophyta; Magnoliopsida; Arecales; Arecaceae.
AAUUCCUUCAAUGACAGGGACUUAAUAAAGCGACUGAUUGACGGAUGCAUCCUGUCCGAGGUCGUCCAGAGGAUUGAUCGUGCCGAUCUCGAACAGCGGGUUUGGGACUCUCUUGGGUCCUUUCUCGAGGUAAACAGAUUCACCUCCCUCCUUCCUUUCACGCCUUUGUUUAAUUAAUUCUCCAACUCUUAUUCUGACCUCCUGGCCGCCCAUGC